This 246-nucleotide ribosomal RNA is filed under the name uncultured Gardnerella sp. Its description in RNAcentral is "partial 16S ribosomal RNA". It matches the Rfam family "Bacterial small subunit ribosomal RNA", at positions 109 to 356 of the family's 1533-position model. The record is from RNAcentral. Lineage: Bacteria; Bacillati; Actinomycetota; Actinomycetes; Bifidobacteriales; Bifidobacteriaceae.
AGUAAUGCGUGACCAACCUGCCCCAUGCUCCAGAAUAGCUCUUGGAAACGGGUGGUAAUGCUGGAUGCUCCAACUUGACGCAUGUCUUGUUGGGAAAGUGUUUAGUGGCAUGGGAUGGGGUCGCGUCCUAUCAGCUUGUAGGCGGGGUAAUGGCCCACCUAGGCUUCGACGGGUAGCCGGCCUGAGAGGGCGGACGGCCACAUUGGGACUGAGAUACAGCCCAGACUCCUACGGGAGGCAGCAGCG